This 409-nucleotide ribosomal RNA is filed under the name Actinomycetes bacterium. RNAcentral's name for it is "Actinobacteria bacterium partial 16S ribosomal RNA". It matches the Rfam family "Bacterial small subunit ribosomal RNA", at positions 355 to 776 of the family's 1533-position model. Lineage: Bacteria; Bacillati; Actinomycetota; Actinomycetes. The record is from RNAcentral.
AGGGGAAUAUUGCACAAUGGGCGCAAGCCUGAUGCAGCGACGCCGCGUGAGGGAUGACGGCCUUCGGGUUGUAAACCUCUUUCAGCUCCGACGAAGCGCAAGUGACGGUAGGAGCAGAAGAAGCACCGGCCAACUACGUGCCAGCAGCCGCGGUAAUACGGAGGGUGCAAGCGUUGUCCGGAAUUACUGGGCGUAAAGAGCUCGUAGGCGGUUUGUCGCGUCGUCAGUGAAAUUCUGCAGCUUAACUGCAGGCGUGCAGGCGAUACGGGCAGACUUGAGUACUACAGUGGAGAAUGGAAUUCCUGGUGUAGCGGUGAAAUGCGCAGAUAUCGGAAGGAACACCGGUGGCGAAGGCGGGUCUCUGGGUAGUAAAUGACACUGAGGAGCGAAAGCGUGGGUUGCGAACAGG